UGGGGAAUAUUGGACAAUGGGCGCAAGCCUGAUCCAGCCAUGCCGCGUGAGUGACGAAGGUCUUCGGAUUGUAAAGCUCUUUUUGGCGGGGACGAUAAUGACGGUACCCGCAGAAUAAGCCCCGGCUAACUUCGUGCCAGCAGCCGCGGUAAUACGAAGGGGGCUAGCGUUGUUCGGAAUCACUGGGCGUAAAGCGCACGUAGGCGGAUUUGUUAGUCAGGGGUGAAAUCCCGGGGCUCAACCUCGGAACUGCCUCUGAUACUGCAAAUCUCGAGUCCGAUAGAGGUGAGUGGAAUUCCUAGUGUAGAGGUGAAAUUCGUAGAUAUUAGGAAGAACACCAGUGGCGAAGGCGGCCAACUGGCUCGAUACUGACGCUGAGGUGCGAAAGCGUGGGGAGCAAACAGGAUUAGAUACCCGCGUAGUCCCUGAGCGGGCUGGCAAGGCGCAU
This 448-nucleotide ribosomal RNA is filed under the name uncultured bacterium. Its description in RNAcentral is "bacterial SSU rRNA". It matches the Rfam family "Bacterial small subunit ribosomal RNA", at positions 355 to 825 of the family's 1533-position model. The record is from RNAcentral.